Molecule: non-coding RNA, 361 nt
Organism: Camellia sinensis
Lineage: Eukaryota; Viridiplantae; Streptophyta; Magnoliopsida; Ericales; Theaceae
Source: RefSeq, a predicted model, not a curated record
GCUAAUUCCCGGUGACUGAAUUCUUUUUAUGUGAAGUCUUAGGGUCUUAUCUUCCUGCCACACGGAUCUUUCUUCUUUUCUGAAGGAUUGGCCUUCCAAAAUUUGCAGAGCAAUGCAAAACCUUCGAGCUUCUUUUUUUAUGGAUAUAGAAUAAAAUGGGGAUCCUUGGACGCAGUGCAAUUGUUACAAAGCCAAAUGAGUCUGUGAGGCUCAUUGUAACGACUUUUAUUGGAGUUGUUUUUGGCUUCCUGAUAAGAGCAUCAUUUCCAACACUUCCAUUAGCCAAGGUGCACAAAGUAUUCUCUUUCCUGUCUUUGUCUAUAAUUCCUCUUUGCUUCUUGUUAAUUUUAUUUGUUUUAUU